CCUACGGGGGGCUGCAGUGGGGAAUAUUGGACAAUGGGGGGAACCCUGAUCCAGCCAUGCCGCGUGUGUGAAGAAGGCCCUCGGGUUGUAAAGCACUUUCAGUGAGGAAGAACGCCUGGUGGUUAAUACCCAUCAGGAAAGACAUCACUCACAGAAGAAGCACCGGCUAACUCCGUGCCAGCAGCCGCGGUAAUACGGAGGGUGCGAGCGUUAAUCGGAAUUACUGGGCGUAAAGCGCGCGUAGGUGGCUUGAUAAGCCGGUUGUGAAAGCCCCGGGCUCAACCUGGGAACGGCAUCCGGAACUGUCAAGCUAGAGUGCAGGAGAGGAAGGUAGAAUUCCCGGUGUAGCGGUGAAAUGCAUAGAGAUCGGGAGGAAUACCAGUGGCGAAGGCGGCCUUCUGGACUGACACUGACACUGAGGUGCGAAAGCGUGGGUAGCAAACAGGAUUAGAUACCCGGGUAGUC
RNAcentral lists this ribosomal RNA (465 nucleotides) under Vreelandella stevensii. RNAcentral describes it as "partial 16S ribosomal RNA". It matches the Rfam family "Bacterial small subunit ribosomal RNA", at positions 338 to 795 of the family's 1533-position model. Lineage: Bacteria; Pseudomonadati; Pseudomonadota; Gammaproteobacteria; Oceanospirillales; Halomonadaceae. The record is from RNAcentral.